Molecule: ribosomal RNA, 1447 nt
Filed under: uncultured organism
Description: 16S ribosomal RNA
Rfam family: Bacterial small subunit ribosomal RNA
Source: RNAcentral
CAGGCUUAACACAUGCAAGUCGAGGGGCAGCAUGGUCUUAGCUUGCUAAGGCCGAUGGCGACCGGCGCACUGGUGAGUAACGCGUAUCCAACCUGCCUUACACUCUUGGACAGCCUUCUGAAAGGGAGAUUAAUACAAGAUGUUAUCAUGAGUAAGCAUUUUCGCAUGAUUAAAGGUUUACCGGUGUAAGAUGGGGAUGCGUUCCAUUAGAUAGUAGGCGGGGUAACGGCCCACCUAGUCUUCGAUGGAUAGGGGUUCUGAGAGGAAGGUCCCCCACAUUGGAACUGAGACACGGUCCAAACUCCUACGGGAGGCAGCAGUGAGGAAUAUUGGUCAAUGGACGAGAGUCUGAACCAGCCAAGUAGCGUGAAGGAUGAAGGUUCUAUGGAUUGUAAACUUCUUUUAUACGGGAAUAAACGAAUCCACGCGUGGAUUUUUGCAUGUACCGUAUGAAUAAGGAUCGGCUAACUCCGUGCCAGCAGCCGCGGUAAUACGGAGGAUCCGAGCGUUAUCCGGAUUUAUUGGGUUUAAAGGGAGCGUAGAUGGGUUGUUAAGUCAGUUGUGAAAGUUUGCGGCUCAACCGUAAAAUUGCAAUUGAUACUGGCAGUCUUGAGUACAGUUGAGGUAGGCGGAAUUCGUGGUGUAGCGGUGAAAUGCUUAGAUAUCACGAAGAACUCCGAUUGCGAAGGCAGCUUACUAACCUGUAACUGACAUUGAUGCUCGAAAGUGUGGGUAUCAAACAGGAUUAGAUACCCUGGUAGUCCACACGGUAAACGAUGAAUACUCGCUGUAGGCGAUAUACAGUCUGCGGCCAAGCGAAAGCAUUAAGUAUUCCACCUGGGGAGUACGCCGGCAACGGUGAAACUCAAAGGAAUUGGCGGGGGCCCGCACAAGCGGAGGAACAUGUGGUUUAAUUCGAUGAUACGCGAGGAACCUUACCCGGGCUUAAAUUGCAACCGAAUAUGGCGGAAACGCUAUAGCUAGCAAUAGCGGUUGUGAAGGUGCUGCAUGGUUGUCGUCAGCUCGUGCCGUGAGGUGUCGGCUUAAGUGCCAUAACGAGCGCAACCCUUGCCGAUAGUUACUAACAGGUCAUGCUGAGGACUCUGUCGGGACUGCCAUCGUAAGAUGUGAGGAAGGUGGGGAUGACGUCAAAUCAGCACGGCCCUUACGUCCGGGGCUACACACGUGUUACAAUGGGGGGUACAGAGGGCUGCUACCACGCAAGUGGAUGCCAAUCCCAAAAACCUCUCUCAGUUCGGAUUGAAGUCUGCAACCCGACUUCAUGAAGCUGGAUUCGCUAGUAAUCGCGCAUCAGCCACGGCGCGGUGAAUACGUUCCCGGGCCUUGUACACACCGCCCGUCAAGCCAUGGGAGCCGGGGGUACCUGAAGUGCGUAACCGCAAGGAGCGCCCUAGGGUAAAACCGGUGACUGGGGCUAAGUCAUAAC